CCUACGGGCGGCAGCAGUGGGGGAUAUUGGACAAUGGGGGGAACCCUGAUCCAGCGACGCCGCGUGAGUGAAGAAGUAUUUCGGUAUGUAAAGCUCUGUCAGCAGGGAAGAAAGAAAUGACGGUACCUGACCAAGAAGCCCCGGCGAACUACGUGACAGCAGCCGCGGUAAUACGUAGGGGGCAAGAGUUAUCCGGAAUUACUGGGUGUAAAGGGAGCGUAGACGGUUAAGUAAGUCUGGAGUGAAAGGCCGGGGCCCAACCCCGGGACUGCUCUGGAAACUAUUGACCUUGAGUGCAGGGGAGGUAAGCGGAAUUCCUAGUGUAGCGGUGAAAUGCGUAGAUAUUAGGAGGAACACCAGUGGCGAAGGCGGCUUACUGGACUGUAACUGACGUUGAGGCUCGAAAGCGUGGGGAGCAAACAGGAUUAGAUACCCUAGUAGUC
Molecule: ribosomal RNA, 443 nt
Filed under: uncultured bacterium
Lineage: Bacteria
Description: partial 16S ribosomal RNA
Rfam family: Bacterial small subunit ribosomal RNA
Source: RNAcentral